AGUAGAGAUGGGGUUUCACCAUGUUGGUCAGGCUGGUCUCAAACUCCUGACCUCAGAUGAUCCACCCACC
MicroRNA precursor from Nomascus leucogenys (northern white-cheeked gibbon), 70 nucleotides. Lineage: Eukaryota; Metazoa; Chordata; Mammalia; Primates; Hylobatidae. The record is from Ensembl.